UUAAUAAUAGUUAUGAUAUUUUGAAUUGAUAUUUAAUAAUAUUUUUUAUGAAAUGUUUUUUAUCGAUGUAAGGAAAGAUCAACUUUAUAAUUUAUAAAGUGACUAAACCAUUUAUUACAUGCAUGGAAAAGGAAGAAAUAUGACUAAAAUUGUAUUGUUUGCUUAUGUCAUAGUUAUCAUAAUUUCUCUGUUUUUUGUUGCUAUGAACAUUGAAGCGUUCUUAUAUCCACCGCUUUGUUGUUAUAGUGAUUCGGAUUGUCCUCCAUUUAGGUGUUGGAGACCUUGGAUAGCAAAGUGUGUCAAUAGAUGGUGUAGAUGUGUACCUGAGGAAGACAUAUGAUAUUAUUUGUGAUGUCACUUAGCUUUUGUUUUUAUUUCCUUUUUAUUUUUAAAGUACACCUUGACAUCAAAAAUGACACUAAAUACUUACACUAUGCCAUUGUUUACUUACUGAGAACAGUAUAAUAGUACUCGUGAACAAUAUCAGUAAAUAGUAAUUUUUAGUGGUAAAUAAAAGUUGGUUACUAAAAUUUAAAAA
Long non-coding RNA from Vicia villosa (hairy vetch), 538 nucleotides. RefSeq lists it as uncharacterized. Lineage: Eukaryota; Viridiplantae; Streptophyta; Magnoliopsida; Fabales; Fabaceae. The record is from RefSeq and is a predicted model, not a curated record. The transcript has 3 exons.